This is a non-coding RNA of Physcomitrium patens, 2159 nucleotides long. The record is from RefSeq and is a predicted model, not a curated record. NCBI's taxonomy places the organism in Eukaryota, Viridiplantae, Streptophyta, Bryopsida, Funariales, Funariaceae.
UGCUGCCAUCCAUUGGCGAUGAUGACGUAGAGCAGAUAAUUUCUCCCGAUCGAUGACGUCGGUCUUGACGGUACCGACUUUUAGGUGACCCGCCGAGCAAUUGCUGAUGCAUUCUCUCUAGUUUUGGCGGAUUUGGUGGUUCUCUGGCACAUGAGGUGGCGAUUCUCUUCUUCACGUGGUGGCAUCUUUGUUCUUGCUCGGAAUUAGGAUGUUAACUUAUGCUGAGAGUUUUCUACAACACAGUUUCUUGCAUGCAGGGUAUUAUAUAAGCAGCUCUCUCUUGUCGGCGUUAAUUUUUCUUGUAGGGUUGAGGAGAUAGUGGGAUUUGGGUGACCACCACACGCUCAGAGUAGGUCUCUAGAGUCGAAAUUUUCAGUGGUGAGUAUUGGUGGUGAAAUUUAACCGUGGUAUUGAGCUGUUGGGAUAUCUAAUCUGUUCUGGGUAAGGAGAUGGCCUACCCAAGGAGAAAUGGGAACAAACCGUCUUCGAGCUUUCGGUUCGAAUUUUACACGAAUGUGCUAAGAUUCUUUUUCCCUCGAGUCGGUAUUGAAUUGCCCAUCUUUUUCCUCGUUUUAGGAGAUCUUCAGCUUCUUUGAUCGAAUCUACUGAGAAGACCAAGACUUUUCUCAGUGCCACAGCGCGUGAGGGAUCUGUCGCCGAGCUGAGUUGGGGUUGGUGUGUUUCAAUUAGAUGCUGUUGGUGGUGGUGAACCCAUUUUAGGUUUUAAGUCAUAUAAAACCACAAUUUCAGUGCUCCAUAUGAAAGUUUGGUGUUCAGGUCAACUCCCUAAAUUGUUAUUACUUGUGGAGGACUGUUCGCUCUAUCACGGUUAGAAUCGCUGACGACCCUAGUUGGAUCUUGUCACAAUUUCAUCAGCUUUAUCCAUUGGAAACGAGCGACCGACGAACAAACUGCGAGACAAUUGACUAGAAGCCAUGGGGAAAGUUGCAACCGUACUUGAAAAUGGAACAGACGCUCAUUGUGAGAUCAAGUCACGAAGUGCAUCCGGAGUGCAUAUACUUGUGAAGAAGCUUGCCCCCAAAGAACAAUAUACACUAGAAAGAAGAACUAGUGACACUUACUUGCAACAUUGGGUUUUUGUGGGUCGAGAUGCUGUUGCCAGUUUCAGCAGCGACGAGCUGAUUGACAACGACAAGAUCGUAAUUGAACAUGAUGGUACUGAGUUCAAGGUGGCUAAGAAUCCUAGGCCGGAAACAAUGAAGUCAUCGAAAAGCAUGCCUAUUCCAGGAAGAUCUUCUUAUCAACCUUAUAAUGAUAUUGGUAAACCACCCUUACACACAAGAAUAGGAAGGCUUUUCAACUCCUUGAUAAGACGCUCUCAACAUCCUACCACUUUAGAUGUAUCCUCAUCAGAUGUAGAACCACAUAUGCAAAAUUCUCAUGCACCUAAUCGUCUUCAUUCUAUAUAGACAAAUGAAUUAAUAGAGUGACACUAAGCUAAAACCCCAUAAUCUCCUAACUUUUGCUGUAGUCCACACAACAGAGUGCUGUAUUAGCUUGAUGUAUUUCAACGUCACUUGCUAAAUAGCGAAAAAAUAUUUAGGGUCUUGAGGAUGUUUCUGGAGGCAAAUUUUGGAUUUGCUUGUUUAAUGUCUUAGGGUCCUUGAGGAUGUGUUUGGGUCAGUCUGGACCUGCCAGAUUUAACUUCACACAGCAAUAUUUUAAAUGUGGUAUUGGAUGUGUAGAAUGGGCGACUUUGUCCCUUUGAGAUCACAAGAUCUGUGUCUGACCUUGAACCAGUAGUUGAAUCACUCAUUAGUGCUUUCAAAAAAAAGGAUGGAAUUAAAAGCUUUCCAUUAAAUUGGAAGUUACAGAGAGAUGUGGGUAAAAGGAUGUUUUGGGAUCAAAAUAGGGGUGCUUUUGUGGAAACAUUUAAGUUAUGAACGCAUAAAAUUUAUCAGCAUGCAUUGAAUUUGUCAAUCAUCUGUCACGUACGUUUUCCAACUUUUGUUUUUGUCACAGUUACGGAAUUUUGGUCCAGUUAUUAGAAGCAAUAUUUGUUUGCUUUUGCUAGUCUAGAAAUAGCUGUGCUCAUGGCCUCACCUUCCUCUUGUAUCUGUCAAAUUUCUAAUUCUUAUCAAGACUUGUGGGGUAGCAUCUGCAAAUCAAGGUUGCCUAGGCAGCAUUUCUUCCUCUUU